AGGCUACCUCCCCUAUCCUCUCCAAAAUCUGAUAAGGACCAAUAAAUCGAGGUGUCAACUUCUUCGACUUCAAGGCUCGACCAACACCAGUUAUCGGAGUAACACGAAGAAACACAUGAUCUCCCUCUUGAACUCAAGUGACUUCCUCCUCUUGUCAUGAUAACCUUCUGACGACUCUGAGCAAUUCUCAUCUUCUCCUGAAUCAUCUUAAUCUUUUCCGUAGUUU
Molecule: long non-coding RNA, 226 nt
Filed under: Lathyrus oleraceus (garden pea)
Lineage: Eukaryota; Viridiplantae; Streptophyta; Magnoliopsida; Fabales; Fabaceae
Description: Pisum sativum (pea) long non-coding RNA (PSAT_LNC039218)
Source: RNAcentral